UAAACGUCAUAGCAUAGAAGGCACAUUCAGGCCCAGAAACACACAGUCAAAAUUCUAGUUCCGUUCGGAGCGGACGUGUGAAAAAUCAGAUCCCAGUAAAAAACAAAAAAAAUAAAAUUUUAGUUUUUGACGACGCACUGAUCCUGCACCGUCGAGGGAUGUCCCAAAUGCGCAGAGGGCCUCGAUGGAUGCCUUGCGGAUGACCUCCUGGAAGUCGUCAAAAGCGUCGAACAGCGAGUUCCUUCAAGAUUAAUGACGCCUCCUCCUUUUCCAAGACAAAGUCGUUCUCCAUUUGCAACUCGUUCG
Drosophila pseudoobscura is the source of this 306-nucleotide long non-coding RNA. RefSeq lists it as uncharacterized. The record is from RefSeq and is a predicted model, not a curated record. The transcript has 2 exons. Lineage: Eukaryota; Metazoa; Arthropoda; Insecta; Diptera; Drosophilidae.